GCAGAUGUGGUGUAAAUGGCAACACAAGGGUGUGGUAAAUCCUCGAUGUGGGUUCGAUUCCCGCCAUCUGCU
The sequence is a transfer RNA, 72 nucleotides long. It matches the Rfam family "tRNA". From Rfam's summary of the family: Transfer RNA (tRNA) molecules are approximately 80 nucleotides in length. Their secondary structure includes four short double-helical elements and three loops (D, anti-codon, and T loops). The record is from Rfam.